This 1526-nucleotide ribosomal RNA is filed under the name Salmonella enterica subsp. enterica serovar Berta. RNAcentral's name for it is "partial 23S ribosomal RNA". It matches the Rfam family "Bacterial large subunit ribosomal RNA", at positions 1 to 1557 of the family's 2925-position model. The record is from RNAcentral. Lineage: Bacteria; Pseudomonadati; Pseudomonadota; Gammaproteobacteria; Enterobacterales; Enterobacteriaceae.
GGGUUGUGAGGUUAAGCGACUAAGCGUACACGGUGGAUGCCCUGGCAGUCAGAGGCGAUGAAGGGCGUGCUAAUCUGCGAUAAGCGCCGGUAAGGUGAUAUGAACCGUUAUAACCGGCGAUACCCGAAUGGGGAAACCCAGUGUGAUUCGUCACACUAUCAUUAACUGAAUCCAUAGGUUAAUGAGGCGAACCGGGGGAACUGAAACAUCUAAGUACCCCGAGGAAAAGAAAUCAACCGAGAUUCCCCCAGUAGCGGCGAGCGAACGGGGAGGAGCCCAGAGCCUGAAUCAGCAUGUGUGUUAGUGGAAGCGUCUGGAAAGGCGCGCGAUACAGGGUGACAGCCCCGUACACAAAAGCGCAUGUGCUGUGAGCUCGAUGAGUAGGGCGGGACACGUGGUAUCCUGUCUGAAUAUGGGGGGACCAUCCUCCAAGGCUAAAUACUCCUGACUGACCGAUAGUGAACCAGUACCGUGAGGGAAAGGCGAAAAGAACCCCGGCGAGGGGAGUGAAAAAGAACCUGAAACCGUGUACGUACAAGCAGUGGGAGCACAGGUUUACCUGUGUGACUGCGUACCUUUUGUAUAAUGGGUCAGCGACUUAUAUUCUGUAGCAAGGUUAACCGUAUAGGGGAGCCGGAGGGAAACCGAGUCUUAAUUGGGCGUUAAGUUGCAGGGUAUAGACCCGAAACCCGGUGAUCUAGCCAUGGGCAGGUUGAAGGUUGGGUAACACUAACUGGAGGACCGAACCGACUAAUGUUGAAAAAUUAGCGGAUGACCUGUGGCUGGGGGUGAAAGGCCAAUCAAACCGGGAGAUAGCUGGUUCUCCCCGAAAGCUAUUUAGGUAGCGCCUCGUGAAUUCAUCUCCGGGGGUAGAGCACUGUUUCGGCUAGGGGGCCAUCCCGGCUUACCAACCCGAUGCAAACUGCGAAUACCGGAGAAUGUUAUCACGGGAGACACACGGCGGGUGCUAACGUCCGUCGUGAAGAGGGAAACAACCCAGACCGCCAGCUAAGGUCCCAAAGUCAUGGUUAAGUGGGAAACGAUGUGGGAAGGCCCAGACAGCCAGGAUGUUGGCUUAGAAGCAGCCAUCAUUUAAAGAAAGCGUAAUAGCUCACUGGUCGAGUCGGCCUGCGCGGAAGAUGUAACGGGGCUAAACCAUGCACCGAAGCUGCGGCAGCGACGCUUAUGCGUUGUUGGGUAGGGGAGCGUUCUGUAAGCCUGUGAAGGUGUGUCGUGAGGCAUGCUGGAGGUAUCAGAAGUGCGAAUGCUGACAUAAGUAACGAUAAAGCGGGUGAAAAGCCCGCUCGCCGGAAGACCAAGGGUUCCUGUCCAACGUUAAUCGGGGCAGGGUGAGUCGACCCCUAAGGCGAGGCCGAAAGGCGUAGUCGAUGGGAAACGGGUUAAUAUUCCCGUACUUGGUGUUACUGCGAAGGGGGGACGGAGAAGGCUAUGUUGGCCGGGCGACGGUUGUCCCGGUUUAAGCGUGUAGGUGUGUGUUCCAGGUAAAUCCGGUUCACUUUAACACU